Small nuclear RNA from Cynocephalus volans (Philippine flying lemur), 108 nucleotides. The record is from RefSeq and is a predicted model, not a curated record. Lineage: Eukaryota; Metazoa; Chordata; Mammalia; Dermoptera; Cynocephalidae.
GUGCUUGCUUCAGCGGCACAUGCACUAAAAAUUGGAAGGUUGCAGGGAAGAUUAGCAUGACCCCUGUGCAAGGACAACAAGCAAAUUGGUGAAGCAUUCCAUAUUUUU